UGAAGGAGUUUUUCAGUCUGCGCCUGGGAUAAUUCUGGCUCCUCUGGCGCCGCCAUCUUACCUCGCCAAUCAUCUAGCCAGGCAGUAAUGGCCACCCUGCGUUCAUA
Molecule: long non-coding RNA, 107 nt
Organism: Poecilia latipinna (sailfin molly)
Lineage: Eukaryota; Metazoa; Chordata; Actinopteri; Cyprinodontiformes; Poeciliidae
Exons: 4
Source: RefSeq, a predicted model, not a curated record